Long non-coding RNA from Helianthus annuus (common sunflower), 820 nucleotides. RefSeq lists it as uncharacterized. NCBI's taxonomy places the organism in Eukaryota, Viridiplantae, Streptophyta, Magnoliopsida, Asterales, Asteraceae. The record is from RefSeq and is a predicted model, not a curated record. The transcript is spliced from 5 exons.
CCCAUAUCAUCUCCUCCCGCCCUUGUUCUUUCCUUUCCACCAGGUAUCGUCAUUCACCCAGAUCAAGAUAUCACAGUUCCAUUAUCUUAACUUAUUUUCUUCUAUUUCAAUACUCCAAUUUGGAUUCAGUCAUCACAGAUCAAGAUACCACUCGUAAGUGGUUUGUCUCUUCACUUGACCCGUUUGAUCAAGGUGGAAAUUUCAUCAUAAACGGGAGUGAAAAAGAGAUAGCCGAACAAAUACGCUUAUGUGGCAGAAGUAAAUGUAAAUGGUUGCUACAGGUGAAGAAAAUGAAAGAACUCAGUAAAGGUUACAGCAUAGUUGGACUCUCCCAGGGAAUGGCUGCUUGUUGAUAUUAAAGAGCACCCCAUGCUACUUGCAGAACCAUCUUCCAACACUCAACAACAGAUAGAAAAGUACUGGCAUCUUUUGCUUUAGGGCGUGCUACCUCGUUGGUCGUUGAUACGUAGGGGAAACAUGACUUUAUACAAACAUAUCUUAAAGUUUUAUGAUAUAUAAAUGAGGCUUAACUAUUAUUCUACCUAUUUAUUUGAUUGACUUGUCGCGGUUGCUUUUGUAACAACCUUAAAUUGACUUCAGCCGUGGAGGAUCAACUAUUGUUGCCCCUGUACAUGAUGGGUAUGUUUUACAAGAGGCGCUGGUGUCAGUGUCUCCAAUUGGAGGAGAGUUUCUUAUUGAUUGCUUAAUUAAAAGCUUGGAAAGCAAAGGAGUUAAAGUGAGUUACUUAUACUACUGAAUAAGUUAAGUUACAAGUUUUUUUUGGUUGGUUUAUGAUGAUAUAAUUACUAUUUUUUGUAGC